RNAcentral lists this ribosomal RNA (252 nucleotides) under uncultured bacterium. RNAcentral describes it as "partial 16S ribosomal RNA". It matches the Rfam family "Bacterial small subunit ribosomal RNA", at positions 524 to 776 of the family's 1533-position model. The record is from RNAcentral.
UACGGGGGGGGCAAGCGUUGUUCGGAAUUACUGGGCGUAAAGGCUCGUAGGCGGCCAACUAAGUCAUACGUGAAAUCCCUCGGCUUAACCGGGGAACUGCGUCUGAUACUGGAUGGCUUGAGUUCGGGAGAGGGAUGCGGAAUUCCAGGUGUAGCGGUGAAAUGCGUAGAUAUCGGAAGGAACACCUGUGGCGAAAGCGGCUCACUGGACCAUUACUGACGCUGAGGCACGAAAGCUAGGGGAGCAAACAGG